GCCUGAUGCAGCAAUGCCGCGUGUGUGAUGAAGGCCUGAGGGUUGUAAAGCACUUUCACUGGGGAAGAUGAUGACGGUACCUAUAGAAGAAGCACCGGCUAACUCCGUGCCAGCAGCCGCGGUAAUACGGAGGGGGCAAGCGUUAAUCGGAAUUACUGGGCGUAAAGGGCGCGUAGGCGGCUUGUUUAGUCGGAUGUGAAAGCCCCGGGCUCAACCUGGGAACUGCAUUCGAUACUGCUGAGCUAGAGUAUGGAAGAGGGAAGUGGAAUUCCGGGUGUAGAGGUGAAAUGCGUAGAUAUCCGGAGGAACACCAGUGGCGAAGGCGACUUCCUGGUCCAAUACUGACGCUGAUGUGCGAAAGCGUGGGGAGCAAACAGGAUUAGAUACCCUGGUAGUCCACGCCCUAAACGAUGUCUGCUAGCCGUUGGGUUCAUUUACCGACUUAGUGGCGCAGCUAACGCGAUAAGAUGACCGCCUGGGGAGUACGGCCGCAAGAUUA
Molecule: ribosomal RNA, 499 nt
Filed under: uncultured Gammaproteobacteria bacterium
Lineage: Bacteria; Pseudomonadati; Pseudomonadota; Gammaproteobacteria
Description: bacterial SSU rRNA
Rfam family: Bacterial small subunit ribosomal RNA
Source: RNAcentral